GCCACCGAAUACAUUAGCAUGGGAUAAUGGAAUAGGACCCUGUCCUCCUAUUUUCAGUUGGUUUUGGCAGCGCGAGGACUAGGGUAAUGAUUAAUAGGGAUAGUUGGGGGCAUUAAUAUUUAAUUGUCAGAGGUGAAAUUCUUGGAUUUAUGAAAGAUUAACUUCUGCGAAAGCAUCUGCCAAGGAUGUUUUCAUUAAUCAAGAACGAAAGUUAGGGGAUCGAAGACGAUCAGAUACCGUCGUAGUCUUAACCAUAAACGAUGCCGACCAGCGAUUAGGAGACGUUGAAUACAAAACACCACCAUCGGUGCGGUCGUCCUUGGCGUCUCGGUCCUUCACGGGGCCGGGGCGCGGGGGC
Molecule: ribosomal RNA, 358 nt
Filed under: Acanthamoeba sp.
Lineage: Eukaryota; Discosea; Longamoebia; Acanthamoebidae
Description: SSU rRNA
Rfam family: Eukaryotic small subunit ribosomal RNA
Source: RNAcentral